Molecule: unclassified non-coding RNA, 159 nt
Filed under: uncultured Helotiales
Lineage: Eukaryota; Fungi; Ascomycota; Leotiomycetes; Helotiales
Description: sequence contains ITS1
Source: RNAcentral
CAGAGUUCGUGCCCCCCGCGGGUAGAUCUCCCACCCUUGAAUAUAAUACCUCUGUUGCUUUGGCAGGCCCGCCUCGGCGUCCGGCUUCGGCUGGGAAGUGCCUGCCAAGGGACCCAAACUCUUAGAUUUUAGCGUCGUCCGAGUACUAUAUAAUAGUUA